GAUGAAGAACGCAGCGAAAUGCGAUAAGUAAUGUGAAUUGCAGAAUUCAGUGAAUCAUCGAAUCUUUGAACGCACAUUGUGCCCGCCAGUAUUCUGGCGGGCAUGCCUGUUUGAGCGUCAUUUCAACCAUCAAGCUCUGCUUGCGUUGGGGAUCCGCGGCUGCCCGCGGUCCCUCAAAACCAGUGGCGGGCUCGCUAGUCACACCGAGCGUAGUAACUUUACAUCGCUAUGGUCGUGCGGCGGGUGCUUGCCGUAAAACCCCCCAAUUUUUAAGGUUGACCUCGGAUCAGGUAGGAAUACCCGCUGAACUUAAGCAUAUCAAUAAGCGGAGGA
Molecule: unclassified non-coding RNA, 333 nt
Filed under: soil metagenome
Description: partial contains 5.8S ribosomal RNA, internal transcribed spacer 2, and large subunit ribosomal RNA
Rfam family: 5.8S ribosomal RNA (bases 1-120)
Source: RNAcentral